CUGAAGACCAUAGGGUUUUGAGACUGCGUCCACAGUGGCGUGUGCUCGACCCUUACUCUUUCAUCCACACACACCUUUGUGCACUAUGGGACGCAAGUCCCCUUUUUACAUAAACACCUAGUUAUAUGCAUGUUUUUUAUGUACUCUACGGAGUAAUGUA
Molecule: unclassified non-coding RNA, 160 nt
Filed under: uncultured Geastrum
Lineage: Eukaryota; Fungi; Basidiomycota; Agaricomycetes; Geastrales; Geastraceae
Description: sequence contains ITS1
Source: RNAcentral